ACAAAGUGAUAUAAGUUGUGAGAUAUACCUUUUUCCUCUUAACUAAUCAGUCAAAUAAAAUGAAGGAACCACCUAUCCACUAAAAACAAGAGGUCAAUGGCAGGAAGAGAAGAGGUCAAAAAUUUCAAAUUCAAAUGGCUGUCUACUGAGGAGAAUCUAAAUCAUGAGGUUCAAUGUCCAAGUAAGUAAUGGGAAGUAGUGCAGGUUUAAGUCCAUACUUUCUGGUUCCCACAUGAAUGUGAGAUUGGAAAUGGCCUCAUCAGAGGAAGUAGAAUAGGAGUUCCUCCUGAUUAAGCAUCUUCAGGCAUUGGGCUUGUGUUGGGCCGCCUACCUUUUUCAGAAUAAAAAUGUUCCAUGAGCAGAUAUACUAGAGAUGUAUUUAAUAAGGGAUGAUGGAGUUCCCUGGUGGCUCUGCAGGUUAAGGACCUGGUGUUGUCACAGCUGUGGCCCAGGUCCUAGCGUGGCUUGGGUUUGAUCCCUGGCCCUGAAACUUCUGCAUGCUGUGGGUGUGGCCAGAAAAAGAGUGAUGAGGAAACAUACAGUAAAGAGUAAAUCCUCCUCUACACAUGGGUUAAUGGAGACUUAGGCACUCUUACCUUCCUACAAAGUGUAAAGAGAUAGAUGGCUAAAUGCAAUUUCUCCAAAACAAAAAUGUAAAUGAAAGCAUAUCAAGGGUACAGAGGUUGGAAAAUCUUAGUGUUUGACUUAGCAUUUUCUGUAAAAACUCAUUACAGUUUGCCAAGCAAUACCACUCUUCAUUUCACUAACAUAACAUUUCAUUAAUGAGAGAUCUGUUAUCACAUGACCUUCCCUGGACAGAUGAUAUCCUUCUAAACACAGUAAGAACAUUUGCAGGUUGCAGAACGAGUAAUUUUGAAAGCUAAGAUGCCACACUAUUUUAGGUAAACUAUUUAUAUACCUGGGAACAACUGAUUAAUAAGAUCAAGGUUUGUUGGAGAGUUAGCUUAGAGCUCACUCCAUUCUUGACCAGUGGAUGACAGGAGAAAAUGAGCCUUUGACUGAGCAGAAGGUAGAGAAACUUCAUUCAGCAAAUGUGGAGUUUGCUUUCCACUUCAAGUUUGGGCCAGUAUCAGUUGCAUGGUUAUUGUCCCUUGAACUUGAAAAGUGACAAUGAUUCUACCUCAGUGGUCAUUUAUCAGAAAACGUACACAGGAUGGAAGAGGUGUGCUGAUGAGCCUAAUAUCUCUUGUUUUUUUACAUUACAUUUAAAGUCACAGUCAAAUCAGCAAGUCUCUGGAGAUGUAUAAAUGAGGGAAAUAAAUCUAAUGUUUAUAGGAAAGAAAAGAUACUCCAUGAAAAUCAAGGUGUGGGAAGGCAUAGAAUGGGGAAAACCAAACAGAAGAUAUUAAAAUGGGAGUAGGUCCAUAUCAGAAAAUUGGAGGGCAAAGAAGGGAAAGAGAAGCAGUGGAUGUCAUGCAGAUAGAAGUGCAGGAAACAUUAGAAUCAUUUCAAGGUUAUGAGGCAAAGAAUGUCAGAAAACUUUACCAAACAUUUUCCGACGUUCCGCUGAAAAAUAAAAUGAGAAGGUCAAUGUAAACCUCAAAAAACAAAGAUAAUUCACUCUUACUAAAAAUUUGCAUUUAAAGUACAUCUCAUUCAUAGUCUGGUACACACAAACACAAAACAGUAACACACAUAUGGAACCAUUUGUAUACGGGAGCACUCAGACCCGCGGAGUCACACACACAUGCUAACCCAUUCAGAGUGACCAAAUAGUCACUUUUGCUAAGAACCAUUUCCAGAAAUGGAGAGGGGCAUAACCUGAGUCAGUUUACUAUAUUGAGAGAGGAUUUUAGAAAUGUUAGUUCUGGGGGUAUUUUUUUUUAUAAGGUUAGUAAUCACUUUUUGUCAGUAGUUAGGCUUUCACUCUUCAGUUUGUAUGAUUAAGUGGGAAUGGUCAUCAUUAAUAAGUCCACAAACAACAAAUGCCUGAGGGGGUGUGGAGAAAAGGGAACCCUCCUGUACUCUUGGUGGGAAUGUAAGCUGGUACAACCACUAUGGAGAACAGUAUGGAGGUACCUUAGAAAUCGAUACAUAGAACUACCAUAUGACACCACAAUUCCACUGUUGGGCAUAUAUCCAGACAAAAUUUUCCUUCAAAAAGACACAUGCACCCGCAUGUUCAUAGUAGCACUAUUCACAAUAGCCAAGACAUAGAGACAACCCAAAUGUCCAUCAACAGAUGACUGGAUUAGGAAGAUGUGGUAUAUAUACACAAUGGAAUGCUACUCAGCCAUUAAAAAGAACAAAACAAUGCCAUUUGCAGCAACAUGGAUGGAACUAGAAACUCUCAUACUGAGUGAAGUAAGUCAGAAAGAGAAGGACAGAUACCAUAUCAUAUGACUUAAAUCUGGAAUCUAUUAUAUGGCACAAAUGAACCUUUCCACAGAAAAGAAAAACAUGGACUUGCAGAAUAGACUUGUGGUUGCCAAGUGGGAGGGGGAGGGAAUGGGAAAUAUGGGAUUAACAGAUACACACUGCUAUGUAUAAAACACAUAAGCAAUAAGGAUUUCCUGUGUAACACGGGGAAAUAUAUUCAAUGUCUUGAAACAACCUAUAAUGGAAAGUAAUCUGAAAAAAGAUAUUACACAUGUAUAUCUGAAUCACUUUGCUCUACAUUUGAAUGUAACAUCAUAUUGUACAUUUACAAUAGUUCAAUAAACAAAAAGUUUAUUCCUGUAGUGUGAAAAAUAUUUGAUAUCAUAUUAGGUAAUUGCAUGUCAUGAAAUUUUAAUGAAAAGUGGUAUUUUAGAGGUAAGUUAUAAUGGACCAAUUCCUGAAGUAUAAGUCCUAUAAUUAUUUAUCAAGAUUUUCAAUAUGGCAAAACUAAUAUUGUGUUACUAAUAGAGCAACAAAAUAGAAUAAUAUGGUAUUUUUCAUUAAAAUUUUUCCAAGAGAAUCACAACUUUUUGCUUACCUGGAAAUGCUUGGAUAACAUGUUAAAGAGCAGUGGAAAAAUGAGCCUCAAGUUCCCAUUAACUAAUGAUUGAUAUUUAUAAAGGAGAGGACAGUGGAUGGAAAAAUGUCGCUCACAUGAUAGACAUCUUCUCUCAUCUCUACAUGUUUGAGGAAGUGUCACUAGCAGGGAAAUGUUCUCUUGAACUUGGCAUAGGUGACAGGGUUCCUAUCUUUGGAUUGUGUUUCAGGAAGACAAACAAUGUGCCUGUCAACUUAAUGCCCUUCAUCCCAGCAACUUCUCAGGGAAACAACUGCAUGGCUCUAGAAAACAGAAAAAGCCAGUGUCCAUCGAGAAAGAAAGGUAAGGAAUGAAAAGAGGAGGAAUGGGAAAUUAUGGAUGGUUGGGAGAUGACGUGACAUUGAGGUAAUUAAGAAUGAAAUGCAUACACAUAUAAUUGGGGAGGGAAGGGCCGACAUCCAGGAGAAGAGCAAGGCAGAGGACGGAUGUAGAUUCAAAGGCAGGAAAUGAUAAUGCCAUGAGAAAACUGUCAUUUUAAUGGGUUUGGAAGCAAUGGGAUUUUUGAAAACUUACCUACACUUUUCUCACGUCCCUCUGAAAAGGAAAAUGGAGAUAUCAAUGUAAAUAUAAUGUAGAAAAGGGAAGGUAAUACAAAUUUAAGGCACUAUUCAUAUUUCAUAUUAAACCCACGUGGAUGCACCCACAAAUAAACACAUGUACACAAAAGCACUCGCACACUCACACACGUAUACACAUAUCCAGUGGCUGAGAUCUCAGUGUUAUCUGAAGAGCAUUCUUCAUAAAUGAAAAUGGGCAUAAAAUGAGCGAGUAUUCUGAUUUGCGUGAACGUUUUAGAACGGGAACUUCUCAUGCUAACCGUUAAAAUGUUCCUCAUCCCUUUGGAUACAGUUAGGCUUUUAUCGUUCAGUUUAUAGGAUGUCAUAAGUACUUGGCCCUUUAAUUAAAGUGUGUAUUCAAUCCGUUUAUUAUGCUAUCUACAUGACACAUACAGCCACAUACACUGAAUUGGAGGAUCUUACAUCAUUGCUUCUAGAGGUACUAUAGGGUAUAUCACCUGGGCUCCAUUACUAAGAAUACUUUCAUUAUCCAAUGAAUAUAUAAUAUUGUGUAUGUUUCUCUUUUAACCACACUUAAAUACGAUUUUAUUAUGUUCCGUGAAAAGACGUGUUAAUGGAUGUGAAGUAGGUCUAAAUCAUGUGACUUGAGCAUGUCUUGGACAAAAUUUUCACUUUGGCCACUGUGAAAAACCAUUACUUCAGAGGCAUAUGAUUAGUAAAAAAUGCUCAACUUAAAAGGAAUGUCUGUGAAUACACUGCAAUAACAGGACAAAUCAAAUAGCAGUAUUGAGGGAUGAUUGAAUAGCAAAUAUAUGGGGAAAGCUUCAGGUGCAAAGGUAAGAUCCCAGGAAAAAUCAUGUAAAAUAUGCACGUGUUGGGCUUGAGAAAGAUGAUCUUUGGAAGUUGAAGGGAAAGGCACAGUUAACCGAUAAAGUCAUGCUUAAGCACACAGGGAAAUGCAUUCAUGGGACUUACCAGUUUCCUCUUCAUAUUGGUCAAUAAAUGCAAAAAAGAAAGAAAGAAUUCAUUCAAGAUGAGGGCACAAUACCAGGAAGUAGGAAAACAAAACUUUCAAACACCUCCAAAGUUAUUUCUGAUCGUUGUCUUCUGAGAAUUGGAACUGCAAAAUUCAA
RNAcentral lists this long non-coding RNA (4649 nucleotides) under Sus scrofa (pig). Its description in RNAcentral is "lncRNA (ENSSSCG00055029356.1)". Lineage: Eukaryota; Metazoa; Chordata; Mammalia; Artiodactyla; Suidae. The record is from RNAcentral.